GCCCGGAUAGCUCAGUCGGUAGAGCAGAGGAUUGAAAAUCCUCGUGUCGGUGGUUCGAUUCCGCCUCCGGGCGCCA
RNAcentral lists this transfer RNA (76 nucleotides) under Vibrio paracholerae. RNAcentral describes it as "tRNA-Phe(gaa)". It matches the Rfam family "tRNA". Rfam says of the family: Transfer RNA (tRNA) molecules are approximately 80 nucleotides in length. Their secondary structure includes four short double-helical elements and three loops (D, anti-codon, and T loops). The record is from RNAcentral. Lineage: Bacteria; Pseudomonadati; Pseudomonadota; Gammaproteobacteria; Vibrionales; Vibrionaceae.